Molecule: non-coding RNA, 1667 nt
Organism: Tupaia belangeri chinensis (Chinese tree shrew)
Lineage: Eukaryota; Metazoa; Chordata; Mammalia; Scandentia; Tupaiidae
Source: the annotation of a RefSeq genome assembly
CCCAGCCUGGGCCUAAGAAGCAGCCUCGGGGACACCAUGGCCUGGACCCCUCUCCUCCUUGGCCUCCUCGCUCACUGCACAGGCUCCGUGGCCUCCUAUGAUGUGACUCAGCCGUCCUCGAUGUCGGUGGCCCUGGGACAGACAGCCCGGAUCACCUGUGGAGGAGACAACAUUGGAGGGAAAAAUGUGCAGUGGUACCAGCAGACGCCAGGCACGUCCCCCAGGCUGGUCAUCUAUUAUGAUAACAAGCGGCCCUCAGGGAUCCCUGACCGAUUCUCAGGCUCCAACUCAGGGAACACGGCCGCCCUGACCAUCAGCGGGGUCCAGGCCGAGGACGAGACCGACUAUUACUGUCAGGUGUGGGAUAGCAGUAACUACAUUGCUCACAGUGACACAGACAGACGGGGAAGUGAGACACAAACCUGCCACCAGCCUGCCUCACAGUGCCCUGUCCUCCCUCCCACCCUGGUCACAUGACAGGAGAGACCCUUGCACAUGGAGGAGUCUCUGCCCCUCCCUCCCCUGCCUCCCUAAGACAUGGCAGCUCCUUCCUGAACCUCUGCAGCCUCAGCUUGUUCCUUGGUCACUAGGCUGGUCAUUUCCAGUGACUUUGAUCUGUGACCUAACCUUUAGGCCCUGAAGACCAGAGAAGACCUGGAAUGACCCAGACCAUGUCUCAGCUCUAUGGAGACACCACUGAGAAAGACCCUUCGUGAGGUCUGCAGGUGGAGGGAGUGGGGGGUCACAGGAGAGUCAUGGGAGUGGGGACCCUCACGUCAGUGUUUUCUGGCAGCUCCUUCCAGGAAGGAGCAGUGAAGCACCAAGACCCAGGUGGCCUGAGAAGGACUUGAGGAGUCAAAGGCUGAUUGUCAGCUCAGAGGAAGUGAGAGUUCCCUGGGGCUGAGCUUAGAGCAUCUGCACCUCAGCGAGCCCAGGCCCUGGGGCUCUCAGGGACAACGUGGACUAUGCUCACACUCUCAGCCCAGAAGAGACUCACCUGAGGACGGCCUGGAAGAGCAAGGAUGCUGCCCCCAGAUGGGAGUCGCUGUGGAGUUGCAGGCUGUGAAGACGCUGAUGCAGGAGAGCUCCCUGCCCUCCCGCCAUGGCCUAGAGCAGGAGGUAGAUCUGCACACACAGGAAGGCCCUGCCCCUCCCUCCAGGGCAGAUCUUCCAAGCAUUAAAAAGAUUUAGUAUAGUACAAGUGAUGAAAAAAACAUGAAGCACAUGAUCUAAAUACAGUACGAUAGACAAAGGAAUCAGUAACAGACACCCCCUCAUGAAACUCACAAAUGUUUGCCAAGUUGUAAACACACUCCUACACAGAAACCAACCGUUGAAGUAAAGGGAAAUGCAGAAGUAUGAUGAGAUGAAUGGGAAUUAAGACACAGUAGAGACAAUUUAGGUGGUUCUGGGAACAGCACUGAGAGGAUAAUUUUAACAAAUGUAUGUGUGUGUGUGUGUGUUUGUAAUAUGAGUGUACAACUGUAUAUACACGCAGGUAUAGCAUAUGUACUCAAAUAUAUAUUUCUCUUUAAUUAUUAACCAUGCGCAAAUACUUAUUUUCAAAUUGUUCCCCCCUGUACUGAUGAGUUUUCUAGUUACUAAUAUUAAAGAGGAAUGCAGGACUGGGAUUACGUGCUACACCUGCCAUUUAGUGUAUCAGUUAG